Symphalangus syndactylus (siamang) is the source of this 136-nucleotide small nucleolar RNA. RefSeq annotates it as small nucleolar RNA SNORA70. NCBI's taxonomy places the organism in Eukaryota, Metazoa, Chordata, Mammalia, Primates, Hylobatidae. The record is from RefSeq and is a predicted model, not a curated record.
CUGCAGCCAAUUAAGCCGACUGAGUUCCUUUCCUCAGGGGGCGCCCAGUGUGCAAUCGCUGCAAACAGCAGCUUCCUUGGUAGUAUAUGCAGACUGUUUAUUGUAUGGGUUGCUCUACGGGACCUUGGAGACAGGC